UCAGACGAUGCGUCAUGCAUAUCAAUAAGCGGAGGAAAAGAAACUAACAAGGAUUCCCCUAGUAACGGCGAGUGAAGCGGGAAGAGCUCAAAUUUGAAAUCUUAAAGGGUUUCCCUUUACGAAUUGUAGUUUAAAGAAGUGUUUUCUGUUGAGGUUUUGGUAAAAGUUCUUUGGAAUAGGACAUCAUAGAGGGUGAGAAUCCCGUAUUUGACCUUUACUUUCAACUUUGUGGAUACACUUUCAAAGAGUCGGAUUGUUUGGGAAUGCAGUCCAAAAUGGGUGGUAAAUUUCAUCUAAAGCUAAAUAUUGGCGAGAGACCGAUAGCGAACAAGUACCGUGAGGGAAAGAUGAAAAGAACUUUGAAAAGAGAGUUAAACAGUACGUGAAAUUGUCAAAAGGGAAGCGUUUGACACCAGUGUUGUUUUUCUGAAAAUCAAUUAAAGAACUGUUUAUGCUAAGUUGUUUAGACUUUAUCAGCUAUACUGUUUAGUUUUGAGCUUUUCUUUAAUGCACUUUUCAGUUAACAAGUCAACAUCAAUUUCUUUUGCUGUAAAAAAGCUUGAGGAAGGUGGCUUGAGAUUCGUCUUAAGUGUUUAUAGCCUCUUGCCUAUGCAGUCGGAGAGAUUGAGGUCUGCAGCGUAGAUCCUUCGGGGCUAAAUGCAUUUGUGCUAAGUUAUAGCAUUUUAUAGACAACUGGUUGACUAUGAUUUGUCUUGUAGCUUACUCGCUUAUGCUAUUUUACCUACGCUUAGGAUGUUGAAUCUGUGCGAGACUAC
This 776-nucleotide ribosomal RNA is filed under the name uncultured Neocallimastigales. RNAcentral describes it as "partial large subunit ribosomal RNA". It matches the Rfam family "Eukaryotic large subunit ribosomal RNA", at positions 18 to 644 of the family's 3401-position model. The record is from RNAcentral. Lineage: Eukaryota; Fungi; Neocallimastigomycota; Neocallimastigomycetes; Neocallimastigales.